CCUACGGGAGGCAGCAGUGGGGAAUAUUGGACAAUGGGCGAAAGCCUGAUCCAGCAAUGCCGCGUGAGUGAAGAAGGCCUUCGGGUUGUAAAGCUCUUUUACCCGGGAAGAUAAUGACCGUACCGGGAGAAUAAGCCCCGGCUAACUCCGUGCCAGCAGCCGCGGUAAUACGGAGGGGGCUAGCGUUGUUCGGAAUCACUGGGCGUAAAGCGUGCGUAGGCGGCCAUUCAAGUCAGAGGUGAAAGCCCAGGGCUCAACCCUGGAACUGCCUUUGAAACUAGGUGGCUGGAACACGGGAGAGGCGAGUGGAAUUCCGAGUGUAGAGGUGAAAUUCGUAGAUAUUCGGAAGAACACCAGUGGCGAAGGCGGCUCACUGGACCGUUGUUGACGCUGAGGCACGAAAGCGUGGGGAGCAAACAGGAUUAGAUACCCUGGUAGUCCACGCCGUAAACGAUGAUAACUAGCUGUUGGGGCUCUUUGAGCUCCAGUGGCGCAGCUAACGCAUUAAGUUAUCCGCCUGGGGAGUACGGCCGCGAAGGUUAAAACUCAAAUGAAUUGACGG
RNAcentral lists this ribosomal RNA (562 nucleotides) under uncultured bacterium. Its description in RNAcentral is "bacterial SSU rRNA". It matches the Rfam family "Bacterial small subunit ribosomal RNA", at positions 338 to 916 of the family's 1533-position model. The record is from RNAcentral.